RNAcentral lists this transfer RNA (70 nucleotides) under Rhizobium sp. P38BS-XIX. RNAcentral's name for it is "tRNA-Val". It matches the Rfam family "tRNA". Rfam says of the family: Transfer RNA (tRNA) molecules are approximately 80 nucleotides in length. Their secondary structure includes four short double-helical elements and three loops (D, anti-codon, and T loops). The record is from RNAcentral. Lineage: Bacteria; Pseudomonadati; Pseudomonadota; Alphaproteobacteria; Hyphomicrobiales; Rhizobiaceae.
AAAUGGAUAGCUCAAUUGGUUAGAGCAUCAGGCUUACACCCUGAAGGUAGAAGGUUCGAAUCCUUUUCCA